Long non-coding RNA from Trifolium pratense (red clover), 718 nucleotides. RefSeq lists it as uncharacterized. Lineage: Eukaryota; Viridiplantae; Streptophyta; Magnoliopsida; Fabales; Fabaceae. The record is from RefSeq and is a predicted model, not a curated record. The transcript is spliced from 4 exons.
ACAAACUCUUUUGUUAAAUGAAAUUUUCCCACUAAAAUCAAGGUUCCUCACAAGACAGAGAAAGGGUUCACAAUCUUCAGUCUUCCGUUUCGCAAAUCAGGGUUCAGGUUCAUCUUCCGUCUACCUCUUUCCAUCUACUCUCAUGCAAAGAUUUCAGUGGAUUUAACUCUAUGGCAAACGAGCCUGGAACUGCACAGCUGACAUUGCAACAUAAUGGAAAUUUUUUUGUGGUGGAUAAUUUUCCUGCUGACAAAUUUGACGAGCUAAAGUUAUUUGCGCAAACUCUGACUCAGCCUGCAGUUGUUCCUAAUAUGAUCCCUCAGCCACCACCUUCCAGUUCCACACAAAUUGUUAGAUAACCAGCAAUAAUUGAUUACUAUUCAGAACAAUCAACAUUUGGUUUCAAUAGAAGAGGUUCAUUUAGUCGAUUCAUUCGAAGGAGGAAAGAUAGAGUUACUGCCAAACCACCACAGUAAAAAACAAGCAAUCCGUCUCCGCUUCAGUAAAGUUUGCCAAGUCCAUUCCGUGACUUGUGUUAGGUGCUAAAACAAUGUAAAUCUCAGGGCAAUCACAGUUUUAUGCUAGUUCUCUCUUGUUGUCAUUUCAUGGCUUGUGUUUUGCGCCAAGAAUAUAUAAUAGAUCUAACAUAGUCUAUUUCCGGUAAUUAGUUUUUCUCGUUUUUGGAAUUAAUUUUUCGUAUUUCUUUUGUAUGUUUUCU